This 72-nucleotide transfer RNA is filed under the name Araneus ventricosus. Its description in RNAcentral is "tRNA-Glu". The record is from RNAcentral. Lineage: Eukaryota; Metazoa; Arthropoda; Arachnida; Araneae; Araneidae.
UUCCCACGCCGGGAGUCGAAACCAAGCCGCCUGGGUGAGAGCCAGGAAUCAUGACCGCUAGACCACAUGGGA